AAAUUGAAGAGUUUGAUCAUGGCUCAGAUUGAACGCUGGCGGCAGGCCUAACACAUGCAAGUCGAGCGGUAGCACAGAGAGCUUGCUCUCGGGUGACGAGCGGCGGACGGGUGAGUAAUGUCUGGGAAACUGCCUGAUGGAGGGGGAUAACUACUGGAAACGGUAGCUAAUACCGCAUAAUGUCGCAAGACCAAAGUGGGGGACCUUCGGGCCUCAUGCCAUCAGAUGUGCCCAGAUGGGAUUAGCUAGUAGGUGGGGUAACGGCUCACCUAGGCGACGAUCCCUAGCUGGUCUGAGAGGAUGACCAGCCACACUGGAACUGAGACACGGUCCAGACUCCUACGGGAGGCAGCAGUGGGGAAUAUUGCACAAUGGGCGCAAGCCUGAUGCAGCCAUGCCGCGUGUGUGAAGAAGGCCUUCGGGUUGUAAAGCACUUUCAGCGGGGAGGAAGGCGGUAAGGUUAAUAACCUUAGCGAUUGACGUUACCCGCAGAAGAAGCACCGGCUAACUCCGUGCCAGCAGCCGCGGUAAUACGGAGGGUGCAAGCGUUAAUCGGAAUUACUGGGCGUAAAGCGCACGCAGGCGGUCUGUCAAGUCGGAUGUGAAAUCCCCGGGCUCAACCUGGGAACUGCAUUCGAAACUGGCAGGCUAGAGUCUUGUAGAGGGGGGUAGAAUUCCAGGUGUAGCGGUGAAAUGCGUAGAGAUCUGGAGGAAUACCGGUGGCGAAGGCGGCCCCCUGGACAAAGACUGACGCUCAGGUGCGAAAGCGUGGGGAGCAAACAGGAUUAGAUACCCUGGUAGUCCACGCCGUAAACGAUGUCGAUUUGGAGGUUGUGCCCUUGAGGCGUGGCUUCCGGAGCUAACGCGUUAAAUCGACCGCCUGGGGAGUACGGCCGCAAGGUUAAAACUCAAAUGAAUUGACGGGGGCCCGCACAAGCGGUGGAGCAUGUGGUUUAAUUCGAUGCAACGCGAAGAACCUUACCUGGUCUUGACAUCCACAGAACUUUCCAGAGAUGGAUUGGUGCCUUCGGGAACUGUGAGACAGGUGCUGCAUGGCUGUCGUCAGCUCGUGUUGUGAAAUGUUGGGUUAAGUCCCGCAACGAGCGCAACCCUUAUCCUUUGUUGCCAGCGGUUCGGCCGGGAACUCAAAGGAGACUGCCAGUGAUAAACUGGAGGAAGGUGGGGAUGACGUCAAGUCAUCAUGGCCCUUACGACCAGGGCUACACACGUGCUACAAUGGCAUAUACAAAGAGAAGCGACCUCGCGAGAGCAAGCGGACCUCAUAAAGUAUGUCGUAGUCCGGAUUGGAGUCUGCAACUCGACUCCAUGAAGUCGGAAUCGCUAGUAAUCGUAGAUCAGAAUGCUACGGUGAAUACGUUCCCGGGCCUUGUACACACCGCCCGUCACACCAUGGGAGUGGGUUGCAAAAGAAGUAGGUAGCUUAACCUUCGGGAGGGCGCUUACCACUUUGUGAUUCAUGACUGGGGUGAAGUCGUAACAAGGUAACCGUAGGGGAACCUGCGGUUGGAUCACCUCCUUACCUUAAAGAA
This 1550-nucleotide ribosomal RNA is filed under the name Klebsiella pneumoniae. RNAcentral's name for it is "bacterial SSU rRNA". It matches the Rfam family "Bacterial small subunit ribosomal RNA". Lineage: Bacteria; Pseudomonadati; Pseudomonadota; Gammaproteobacteria; Enterobacterales; Enterobacteriaceae. The record is from RNAcentral.